GGGGGCUUAGCUUCGAUGGUAGAGCACUCGCUUAGCAUGCGAGGGGUAUGGGGAUCGAUACCCCGCGCCUCCA
Molecule: transfer RNA, 73 nt
Filed under: Trichonephila clavata
Lineage: Eukaryota; Metazoa; Arthropoda; Arachnida; Araneae; Nephilidae
Rfam family: tRNA
About the family: Transfer RNA (tRNA) molecules are approximately 80 nucleotides in length. Their secondary structure includes four short double-helical elements and three loops (D, anti-codon, and T loops).
Source: Rfam by way of RNAcentral